Molecule: long non-coding RNA, 475 nt
Organism: Panicum virgatum (switchgrass)
Lineage: Eukaryota; Viridiplantae; Streptophyta; Magnoliopsida; Poales; Poaceae
Exons: 3
Source: RefSeq, a predicted model, not a curated record
GAACGAUGAGAUGUCUAAGGAUGAGUUGAUAGUGCUAGGUGGGGAAGGUGCUGCUGAAUCUGAUGGUGGAAGUGGAAAAGGAGGCAAGAAAAGGCGCAGGGGGUGAAGAAGAAGGUUAAGGUGCAAGGGGAAGGGGGCAGCAGGAACAAAUCCAAAGUUUGGGAUGUCUUUGAUAAGGUGACUAUGCCAGAUCCGAAUGAGAAUGGAAAAAUGUUAUCAAAGGCAAAGUGCAAAUACUGUAAGAAGAUGUAUGCUUACAUACAAGGGUGCACAUGAUGGAACCCGUAGAUAUGUGGAAGAAGACGAGGAGGAUGACAUCGAGAAUAUUUCAUUUCCAAAAAGCUUUGUAGAGAGUAACUAGUAAGAUGUGAUUUUCAUCUGUUAUUACAAUAGUGUUACGAAAUACUAAUAUUCUACUAUUCUGAAAUUUUUAUGUCUAUUCUCUAUUGCAUGUUUUCUAGGCUGGAGAGUGGAG